UGACAAACUUAGAAAGCAUAUUAAAAAGCAAAGACAUCACUUUGCCGACAAAGGACCAUAUAGUCACAGCUAUGGUUUUUCCAGUAGUCAUGCAUAGAUGUGAGAGUUGGACCAUCAAGAAGGCUAAGCACUGAAGAAUUGGUGCUUUUGAACUGUGGGGUUGGAGAAGACUUUUGACAGUCCCUUGGACAGCAAGGAAAACAAACCAGUCAAUCCUAAAGGGAUCAACCCUGACUAUUCAUUGGAAGGGCUGAUGCUGAAGCUGAAGCUCUAAUACUUUGGCCACCUGAUGGGAAGAGCCAACUCAUUGGAAAAGACCCUGAUGCUGGGAAAGAUUGAAGGCGGGAGGAGAAGAGGGUGAUGGAGGAUGAGAUGGUUGGAUAGCCAACAUGAACUUGUGCAAACUCUGGGAGACAGUGGAAGACAGUGGAGCCUGGUGUGAUGCAGUCCAUGGGGUCGCAAAGAGUCAGACAUGAUUUUGUGACUGAAGAACUAAGAGGUUCCAAGCCCACUUGGUACAAAGAGUUUGUUUGAAACAGAAGUGAUGGUAUACUCUACAAUCAAGGUUCAGUUCAUGCCCAGUGAGCCAGGCAAAAAAAAAAUAUGUGUAUAAGUCACUAACCAGGACCAUUUGGCAUCAAAUCUAAGCUGCCAUUCUAAUAGGGCAGAGACACUGGGCUUUACUUUAUUCUUGUGUCUUGCAGGAUGAGACACCUUCAUCAUAUUUUCAACCAAUUCCCACACCAAAACCCACCAUUUCAAAGUGUGUGUUGUUCGGUGAGAAACACUUGUUUGUAGAUGAUGGGCAAUAGAGGAAGUAGCAUUUAUGUUUUGUGCUUUAAGUUCAUGUGUUGGUCAAAGGAGAAUGUUUCCUUCUUUUCUUGGAAUAUAUCUUCCUCUUCCAUGACAGUGGCUAAGAAAGGUUUAGCUUCAGGACUUCCCUGGUAGUCCAGUGGCUAAGAAUCUGCCUGCCCAUGCAGGGGGACUCAGGUUGGAUCCCUGGUCCAGGAACUAAGAUCCCACAUGGCAUGGGACAACUAAGCCCAUGUGCCACAACUACUGAGCCCAGGUUCCAGAGCCCAUACUCCACAACAAAAGAAGCCCCCACGAUGAGAAGCCU
Bos taurus (domestic cattle) is the source of this 1120-nucleotide long non-coding RNA. NCBI's taxonomy places the organism in Eukaryota, Metazoa, Chordata, Mammalia, Artiodactyla, Bovidae. The record is from Ensembl.